UUUCCGUAGGUGAACCUGCGGAAGGAUCAUUAAAGUUAUAGUCCCCCGGCCCUCUGGGCUGGGGUCUUCUAUACCACCCUUUGUUUAUUACACCUUUGUUGCUUUGGCAGGCCUGCCCUCGGGCUGCUGGCUCCGGCCGGCUCGCGUCUUCCAGAGGACCUAAACUCUGUUUGUAUAUGAAGUCUGAGUACUAUAUAAUAGUUAAAACUUUCAACAACGGAUCUCUUGGUUCUG
Molecule: unclassified non-coding RNA, 234 nt
Filed under: plant metagenome
Description: partial contains small subunit ribosomal RNA, internal transcribed spacer 1, and 5.8S ribosomal RNA
Source: RNAcentral